RNAcentral lists this ribosomal RNA (253 nucleotides) under uncultured bacterium. RNAcentral describes it as "partial 16S ribosomal RNA". It matches the Rfam family "Bacterial small subunit ribosomal RNA", at positions 524 to 776 of the family's 1533-position model. The record is from RNAcentral.
UACGGAGGGUGCAAGCGUUGUCCGGAAUUACUGGGCGUAAAGCGCACGCAGGUGGCUGAGUCAGUCGAUUGUGAAAGCCCUGGGCUUAACCUGGGAAUUGCAGUCGAUACUACUUAGCUAGAGUAUGGGAGAGGGCAGUGGAAUUCCCGGUGUAGCGGUGAAAUGCGUAGAUAUCGGGAGGAACAUCAGUGGCGAAGGCGGCUGCCUGGCCCAAUACUGACACUCAGGUGCGACAGCGUGGGGAGCAAACAGG